Homo sapiens (human) is the source of this 149-nucleotide non-coding RNA. It matches the Rfam family "Metazoan signal recognition particle RNA". Rfam says of the family: The signal recognition particle (SRP) is a universally conserved ribonucleoprotein. It is involved in the co-translational targeting of proteins to membranes. NCBI's taxonomy places the organism in Eukaryota, Metazoa, Chordata, Mammalia, Primates, Hominidae. The record is from Rfam.
GCUGGGCAUAAUGGUACAUGCCUGUAGUCCUAACUAUCUGGGAGGCUGAGGUAGGAGGAUCACUUGAGCCCAGGAGUUUAGAGGCUGCAGUGAGCUACGAUUGUGCCACUGCACUCCAGCCUGGGCAACAGAGUGAGACCCUAUCUCAA